This is a long non-coding RNA of Bufo gargarizans (Asiatic toad), 1539 nucleotides long. RefSeq lists it as uncharacterized. The transcript has 3 exons. Lineage: Eukaryota; Metazoa; Chordata; Amphibia; Anura; Bufonidae. The record is from RefSeq and is a predicted model, not a curated record.
CUGAAGAAUAUGGAAAUCCUGAGCGGAAAUACUGUGACCUUAAGAAAUCACAGCCAUCGGCACCGACAUGACAUCAGGACCUCCUCACUCCCCCGCUGCCUGAACACGAUGUGUGACCACAGCUCCACGUUCCGUCACCACCAUGGGAGGAACGUCUUUACGCCAAAGAAACCAACCCAAUAACUACCGAUACACAGAACAGCACAGAUGACAUCAGAGGAAUGACUACUGCUGAGCACUUCCUUCUGAGGAAAUAACUCCGGGGAGCCGCGGACAAUAGACUUACAGUGCGAGGAGGACAGUCUCAGAUAAAGAUAUGUAUCUGAGGAACAGCGAGGUCCCUGCCCUGACUAUUCAUGGGAUCGAAGUGGACUGCAUGUGUUAUAUUCACGGUCCCAGAGACAGAGGUUCAGAAGGAAGAAAAGCACUUCAGCUGCAAGAAUUACGAUUUGCCCUUGUCCGAUAGCUAUGAAUGCCUAAAGCGCCAGAAUGUCGUCCUUGUGACCUUGCUGUGGACCAUCUCUGCAAUGUUGACCGAUUUGAAAAGUCCAAGUUGAUAGGAGUCCGUCUCUCUCCUUUCAGGAAAAAACUCUAAGAGGGUCAUUUACUAACAAAAAUUCUCCUAUUUUGGUGUAUUCCUGGUGCGGAAUGUAGGGCAAAGGUUAUUUGCGCUGUGAUCUGAAACUUUUCCCAGCUUAACGCCAGGUCUAAAAAAGUGGGCAUGGCAGGGAAGGGGACAGGCCCAUCUCAUGUAUCAUUUUCUUUGCCUGUUUUCAGCAUAAAAAAUUGUUUAAAUGUAAGACAGCAAGGAAGCUCACGUAGAUUUAGACCGGCGGUGGAUACGACAAAGUUAUGUAGAGGCCGGCGCUUCUUCAUAACUUCAGCAGAUCCAUCGCCAGUGUACGGGGUUAUUAAGACCCAUGUCAAAUGCCAGUCUUAAUAAGUGACCCCCUAAAUGUUGCCAGGUGCAUCGACCCUAGUCAGAAUAUCAAUCUGAUGGAGAAUUCAAGAUAAAGUGUUUCCCUCUUCUGAAAAGGAGGGGAUUAUUCUUUCUGGGGAAUAGGAAAAAAAAUUGUUGAUGUCCAUCUGGUCAGGGGACUCAAGUUUCCACCUCAAGGGGACCUAGGGACUUAAAAUAUCCUGGAAAUGAUUCUUACUAAGCAAUUUAGCUCAGAUUUCAUAUGGGAAGCCUCUCAAUCCUAAACAGGUCCAGCUCUGCCUAUGUGGGAAGCUAAGAAGAGCGGGGCUAUGCUCUGGAUGGGGGACUAGUGCCUCCACUCGGCAGGAGCUCUGCUUGAGAAAGUAAGCUUGUCUUGAAGUUCUAAAAGGCCAGAAAGUCAUCGGCUCGUUUUUCUUCUGUGGAAGUGUAUCUCAUCAGAUCCUUCUUCUGCAUAAAGUGAAUCAUCUACUAAGGCGAUUGUGCCUGCCCUCACUGCAGUGAACAAGUACACAGGUUCACUCCUAAAAAAUACAAGGUAGUGGGCUCCCCAAAAGUUGACACAGCUCUGAGCAGACUAUUAAGGAAUCUACUGUACCUGC